AAGAUGGCGGCGGAGCUGGUGGAGGCCAAAAACAUGGUGAUGAGUUUUCGAGUCUCCGACCUUCAGAUGCUCCUGGGUUUCGUGGGCCGGAGUAAGAGCGGACUGAAGCACGAGCUAGUCACCAGGGCCCUCCAGCUGGUGCAGUUUGACUGUAGCCCUGAGCUGUUCAAGAAGAUCAAGGAGCUGUACGAGACCCGCUACGCCAAGAAGAACUCGGAGCCUGCCCCACAGCCACAUCGGCCCCUGGACCCCCUGACCAUGCACUCCACCUACGACCGGGCCGGCGCGGUGCCCAGGACUCCACUGGCAGGCCCCAAUAUUGACUACCCCGUGCUCUACGGAAAGUACUUAAACGGACUGGGACGGUUGCCCGCCAAGACCCUCAAGCCAGAAGUCCGCCUGGUGAAGCUGCCGUUCUUUAAUAUGCUGGACGAGCUGCUGAAGCCCACCGAAUUAGAUGGAGUCUGACUGUCGCCUGUGCUGGAGUGCAGUGGUGCGAUCUUGGCUCACUACAGCCUCCUGGCUUCAAGCGAUUCUCCUGCCUCAGCCUCCCAA
This 555-nucleotide small RNA is filed under the name Pongo abelii (Sumatran orangutan). RNAcentral describes it as "processed transcript". Lineage: Eukaryota; Metazoa; Chordata; Mammalia; Primates; Hominidae. The record is from RNAcentral.